Molecule: ribosomal RNA, 405 nt
Filed under: uncultured bacterium
Lineage: Bacteria
Description: bacterial SSU rRNA
Rfam family: Bacterial small subunit ribosomal RNA
Source: RNAcentral
GGGGAAUAUUGCGCAAUGGGCGGAAGCCUGACGCAGCGACGCCGCGUGAGGGAUGAAUGCCUUCGGGUUGUAAACCUCUUUCAGCAGGGAAGAAGCGAAAGUGACGGUACCUGCAGAAGAAGCACCGGCUAACUACGUGCCAGCAGCCGCGGUAAUACGUAGGGUGCAAGCGUUGUCCGGAAUUAUUGGGCGUAAAGAGCUCGUAGGCGGUUUGUCGCGUCUGCUGUGAAAACUCAGGGCUUAACCCUGAGCUUGCAGUGGGUACGGGCAGACUAGAGUGCAGUAGGGGAGACUGGAAUUCCUGGUGUAGCGGUGAAAUGCGCAGAUAUCAGGAGGAACACCGGUGGCGAAGGCGGGUCUCUGGGCUGUAACUGACGCUGAGGAGCGAAAGCGUGGGGAGCGAAC